This 443-nucleotide ribosomal RNA is filed under the name uncultured bacterium. Its description in RNAcentral is "partial 16S ribosomal RNA". It matches the Rfam family "Bacterial small subunit ribosomal RNA", at positions 338 to 795 of the family's 1533-position model. The record is from RNAcentral.
CCUACGGGAGGCAGCAGUGGGGAAUAUUGGGCAAUGGGCGCAAGCCUGACCCAGCAACGCCGCGUGAAGGAAGAAGGCUUUCGGGUUGUAAACUUCUUUUCUCAGGGACGAAGAAAGUGACGGUACCUGAGGAAUAAGCCACGGCUAACUACGUGCCAGCAGCCGCGGUAAUACGUAGGUGGCAAGCGUUAUCCGGAUUUAUUGGGUGUAAAAGGCGUGUAGGCGGGAGCGCAAGUCAGAUGUGAAAACUCAGGGCUCAACCCUGAGCCUGCAUUUGAAACUGUGUUUCUUGAGUGCUGGAGAGGCAAUCGGAAUUCCGUGGGUAGCGGUGAAAUGCGGAGAUAUACGGAGGAACACCAGUGGCGAAGGCGGAUUGCUGGACAGUAACUGACGCUGAGGCGCGAAAGCGUGGGGAGCAAACAGGAUUAGAUACCCCUGUAGUC